Molecule: ribosomal RNA, 476 nt
Filed under: uncultured bacterium
Lineage: Bacteria
Description: bacterial SSU rRNA
Rfam family: Bacterial small subunit ribosomal RNA
Source: RNAcentral
AGAGUUUGAUCAUGGCUCAGGACGAACGCUGGCGGCGUGCCUAAUGCAUGCAAGUCGCGCGGGUGGCUUCGGCUACCAGCGGCGCACGGCUGAGGAACACGUGUGUACCAACCGUUCAGUGGGGGACAACGUUGGGAAACCAGCGCUAAUCCCGCAUACGCUCGCAGGAGUAAAGCCGCAAGGCGCUGAACGCUGGGCGCGCGUCCCAUCAGGUUGUUGGCGGGGUAACGGCCCACCAAGCCGUUGACGGGUCGCUGGUCUGAGAGGAUGACUAGCCAGACUGGGACUGAGACACGGCCCAGACUCCUACGGGAGGCAGCAGCAAGGAAUUUUCGGCAAUGGGCGCAAGCCUGACCGAGCAACGCCGCGUGCGGGAUGACGGCCUUCGGGUUGUAAACCGCUUUUCGAGGGGAUGACAUCGACCGUACCCUCGGAAUAAGCCCCGGCUAACUCUGUGCCAGCAGCCGCGGUAAUUC